RNAcentral lists this ribosomal RNA (443 nucleotides) under uncultured bacterium. RNAcentral's name for it is "partial 16S ribosomal RNA". It matches the Rfam family "Bacterial small subunit ribosomal RNA", at positions 338 to 795 of the family's 1533-position model. The record is from RNAcentral.
CCUACGGGUGGCAGCAGUGGGGAAUAUUGGGCAAUGGGCGCAAGCCUGACCCAGCAACGCCGCGUGAAGGAAGAAUGCUUUCGGGUUGUAAACUUCUUUUCUCAGGGACGAAGAAAGUGCCGGUACCUGAGGAAUAAGCCACGGCUAACUACGUGCCAGCAGCCGCGGUGAUACGUAGGUGGCAAGCGUUAUCCGGAUUUACUGGGUGUAAAGGGCGUGUAGGCGGGGAAGCAAGUCAGAUGUGAAAACCACGGGCUCAACCUGUGGCGUGCAUUUGAAACUGUUUUUCUUGAGUACUGGGGAGGCAGACGGAAUUCGUAGUGUAGCGGUGAAAUGCGUAGAUAUUAGGAGGAACACCAGUGGCGAAGGCGGUCUGCUGGACAGCAACUGACGCUGAGGCGCGAAAGCGUGGGUAGCAAACAGGAUUAGAUACCCCGGUAGUC